UACGGGGGGGGCAAGCGUUGUUCGGAAUUACUGGGCGUAAAGCGCGUUCAGGCGGUUUGGCAAGUCGGGCAUGAAAUCUCUCGGCUCAACCGGGAGAGGUUGUCCGAUACUUCCAGACUUGAGGGCAGUAGAGGGUGGUGGAAUUCCGGGUGUAGUGGUGAAAUGCGUAGAUAUCCGGAGGAACACCAGUGGCGAAAGCGGCCACCUGGACUGCACCUGACGCUGACACGCGAAAGCUAGGGGAGCGAACGGG
This 253-nucleotide ribosomal RNA is filed under the name uncultured bacterium. Its description in RNAcentral is "partial 16S ribosomal RNA". It matches the Rfam family "Bacterial small subunit ribosomal RNA", at positions 524 to 776 of the family's 1533-position model. The record is from RNAcentral.